UUUCUCCUGCAGUGUAGCUUUUCUUAUCUCGCCAUUGUCGCCGCCGUGCCGGAGAUUCACCGGACCCCCCCUUCUUCCGUUUAUAUCAUGGGUCAAUGACGAGACGUGGUAAAAUCGCCCAAAUUAGCAAAUCCCUUAUUGGCAUACCCAUUUGAUCUGCCGAUUAAAUGCGGAGGGAGGGAGGUAUUUGUUGGAUUAAGCUCGUGGACUAGCAAGUCAACUGAGUGGAGCAGUGUGUUUUCGUGGCGGUUUGGUCUGAGAAAUGUCCCCAAAUGGAUGCAUUCGUUGCCGGUGGAUCCACGGCGGCAUUCGGACAAACAGGAUCAUCUUCGGCCUCUAACCAUUUUUGCUGGGCUGAUCUUUGCAACUGGGUGCGGUGCGUUAAUGGCGUUUUUGGUGCUGUUCAUGUGGGCAAUUACGAGGAAGGUUUUUGGGAGAUUGUUAUCCAGUUCAUGGAACGGAAGGUGCCCCUGCCUGCAGCUAUCCAAAAAUUAGCUGCAUUGAUUCAUACUUGAAUGCGUUCAGAAAUGAAAAACUUUCAAACAUUGAAAUU
Molecule: non-coding RNA, 553 nt
Organism: Cucurbita pepo subsp. pepo (vegetable marrow)
Lineage: Eukaryota; Viridiplantae; Streptophyta; Magnoliopsida; Cucurbitales; Cucurbitaceae
Source: RefSeq, a predicted model, not a curated record